AUUUCGUAACUAGAAUGGACAGACUUCUUUGCAUAUAGCCGCCAUGAAUAAUUGUAUGGAAAUUACAGAGAAAUUAAUUCAAGCCGGUGCAGAUGUAAGCAUUAAAGACAAGAUGGGUCGUACGGCUGUUCAUUUAGCUGCUCUUAAAGGACAUCACCUAAUCCUAGUCAGAUUGUUAAGAGUGGGUGUAGAAAUCGACGAUAGAGACGAGGUAAGA
Long non-coding RNA from Centruroides sculpturatus (bark scorpion), 217 nucleotides. RefSeq lists it as uncharacterized. The transcript has 2 exons. The record is from RefSeq and is a predicted model, not a curated record. NCBI's taxonomy places the organism in Eukaryota, Metazoa, Arthropoda, Arachnida, Scorpiones, Buthidae.